Molecule: ribosomal RNA, 765 nt
Filed under: uncultured Streptococcus sp.
Lineage: Bacteria; Bacillati; Bacillota; Bacilli; Lactobacillales; Streptococcaceae
Description: bacterial SSU rRNA
Rfam family: Bacterial small subunit ribosomal RNA
Source: RNAcentral
GACGAACGCGGGCGGCGUGCCUAAUACAUGCAAGUAGAACGCUGAAGAGAGGAGCUUGCUCUUCUUGGAUGAGUUGCGAACGGGUGAGUAACGCGUAGGUAACCUGCCUUGUAGCGGGGGAUAACUAUUGGAAACGAUAGCUAAUACCGCAUAACAAUGGAUGACACAUGUCAUUUAUUUGAAAGGGGCAAUUGCUCCACUACAAGAUGGACCUGCGUUGUAUUAGCUAGUAGGUGAGGUAACGGCUCACCUAGGCGACGAUACAUAGCCGACCUGAGAGGGUGAUCGGCCACACUGGGACUGAGACACGGCCCAGACUCCUACGGGAGGCAGCAGUAGGGAAUCUUCGGCAAUGGGGGCAACCCUGACCGAGCAACGCCGCGUGAGUGAAGAAGGUUUUCGGAUCGUAAAGCUCUGUUGUAAGCCAAGAACGAGUGUGAGAGUGGAAAGUUCACACUGUGACGGUAGCUUACCAGAAAGGGACGGCUAACUACGUGCCAGCAGCCGCGGUAAUACGUAGGUCCCGAGCGUUGUCCGGAUUUAUUGGGCGUAAAGCGAGCGCAGGCGGUUUGAUAAGUCUGAAGUUAAAGGCUGUGGCUCAACCAUAGUUCGCUUUGGAAACUGUCAAACUUGAGUGCAGAAGGGGAGAGUGGAAUUCCAUGUGUAGCGGUGAAAUGCGUAGAUAUAUGGAGGAACACCGGUGGCGAAAGCGGCUCUCUGGUCUGUAACUGACGCUGAGGCUCGAAAGCGUGGGGAGCGAACAGG